Molecule: transfer RNA, 72 nt
Filed under: Camelus bactrianus (Bactrian camel)
Lineage: Eukaryota; Metazoa; Chordata; Mammalia; Artiodactyla; Camelidae
Also listed under: 2 other names
Rfam family: tRNA
About the family: Transfer RNA (tRNA) molecules are approximately 80 nucleotides in length. Their secondary structure includes four short double-helical elements and three loops (D, anti-codon, and T loops).
Source: Rfam by way of RNAcentral
GCAGGUAUAGUUCAAUGGUAGAGUGCGUGCCUAGUGUGCAUAAGGUGCUGGAUUCAAUCCCCAGUACCUCCA